RNAcentral lists this ribosomal RNA (468 nucleotides) under uncultured bacterium. RNAcentral describes it as "partial 16S ribosomal RNA". It matches the Rfam family "Bacterial small subunit ribosomal RNA", at positions 28 to 507 of the family's 1533-position model. The record is from RNAcentral.
GACGAACGCUGGCGGCGUGCUUAACACAUGCAAGUCGAACGGAAAGGCCCUGCUUUUGUGGGGUGCUCGAGUGGCGAACGGGUGAGUAACACGUGAGUAACCUGCCCUUGACUUUGGGAUAACUUCAGGAAACUGGGGCUAAUACCGGAUAGGAGCUCCUGCUGCAUGGUGGGGGUUGGAAAUUUUCGGCGGUUGGGGAUGGACUCGCGGCUUAUCAGCUUGUUGGUGGGGUAGUGGCUUACAAAGGCUUUGACGGGUAGCCGGCCUGAGAGGGUGACCGGCCACAUCGGGACUGAGGUACGGCGCGGUAUCCAAAGGGAGGCAGCGGUGGGGAAUGUUGCACAAUGGGCGGAAGCCUGAUGCAGCAACGCCGCGUGCGGGAUGACGGCCUUGGGGUUGUAAACCGCUUUCGCCUGUGACGAAGCGUGAGUGACGGUAAUGGGUAAAGAAGCACCGGCUAACUACGUG